RNAcentral lists this ribosomal RNA (440 nucleotides) under uncultured bacterium. RNAcentral's name for it is "partial 16S ribosomal RNA". It matches the Rfam family "Bacterial small subunit ribosomal RNA", at positions 338 to 795 of the family's 1533-position model. The record is from RNAcentral.
CCUACGGGAGGCAGCAGUAAGGGAUAUUGGUCAAUGGGGGAAACCCUGAACCAGCAACGCCGCGUGAGGGAAGACGGUUUUCGGAUUGUAAACCUCUGUCCUCUGUGAAGAUGAUGACGGUAGCAGAGGAGGAAGCUCCGGCUAACUACGUGCCAGCAGCCGCGGUAAUACGUAGGGAGCGAGCGUUGUCCGGAUUUACUGGGUGUAAAGGGUGCGUAGGCGGCUUGGCAAGUCAGUAGUGAAAUCCAUGGGCUUAACCCAUGAACUGCUAUUGAAACUGUCGAGCUUGAGUGAAGUAGAGGUAGGCGGAAUUCCCGGUGUAGCGGUGAAAUGCGUAGAGAUCGGGAGGAACACCAGUGGCGAAGGCGGCCUACUGGGCUUUAACUGACGCUGAGGCACGAAAGCGUGGGUAGCAAACAGGAUUAGAUACCCCAGUAGUC